CGUCGGGGCCGGAGAAGAUCGAGGCCGGGGGGGCGUCGGGGCCGGAGAAGAUCGAGGCCGGGGGGGCGUCGGGGCCGGGGGGGCGUCGGGACCAGGGGAGCGUCGGGGAGUGGGUUGUAUUCAGGGAGGCAGAUGCAUCGGGGAGGAGGAUGCAUUUGGGGAAGGGGGUGCAGGAGGCCUGGUGCACACGAGCCGGCGGUCGAGCCCGGUGCCGGGGGCAGCGGAGCCGCUCCUUGCUCCGGGCACGGGGCUGCAAGCCCGCGUGCCCCUGGAAGGGCUGCCGGACGGGCAGUGAGGGUGCAUUUUCUUUCCCUUGCAGCCCUCCGGAAGCCGCAGCAGCGCGUCGGCGAGCCUGCAGGGACCCGCACCCCAGCACCCCAUCCCACGGGAAGAGCAGCCUCCUCUCCAGGGCGAGCUACUUUUCCUGCCCGGCGUUCCCAGCCGACUGCCCAUCCCCAAGGAGGUGGGGAAAGCAGCCCUGGCCGCUCCGGGGCGAUUUAGGUCCCUGGGGCCGCGACGUUUCUGCAGCUGGAUAUCGACAUUCCUCCCGACGGCAGACGUUGAGUCGUAAACCCGGCUCUGUGCACGUGGCCGAGCCGCAGUGCUUUUUUGCCCCCACACAACUCAUUCGGGUUGGAGCGGCUCCGGUUGGGCCAGGCCUGCCCACUGCCCCCCCCGAGGAGCUUGAGGCCUGCCCCCGACGCCCACCUUGCCCUUAAAGGCAGGGUUGAGAGACUUUAAGAGCCUUAAAGUCUCGGGGUACUCUUAAAGGCACUUUAGGAAUAACCUAAGGAACUCAGCCUAACUUUAAGAACUUAAGACUAAUGUUCUUGAAGUUUGGCUGAGUUCCUUAGGCUAUUCCUAAAGUGACUUUAAGGGUACCCAGAGACUUUAAGACUCUUAAAGUCACUUUAAGAAUAACCUAAGGAACUCAGCCAAACUUCAAGAACAUUGGUCUUAUGUUCUUAAAGUUGGGCUGAGUUCCUUAAGUUAUUCUUAAAGUGACUUUAAGAGCCUUAAAGUUUCUGGGUACCCUUAAAGUCACUUUAAGAACUUAAGAAUAAAGUUCUUAAAGUUAGUCUGAGUUCCUUAGGU
RNAcentral lists this long non-coding RNA (1095 nucleotides) under Apteryx owenii (little spotted kiwi). Its description in RNAcentral is "lncRNA (ENSAOWG00000012104.1)". Lineage: Eukaryota; Metazoa; Chordata; Aves; Apterygiformes; Apterygidae. The record is from RNAcentral.